Molecule: ribosomal RNA, 950 nt
Filed under: uncultured Bacillota bacterium
Lineage: Bacteria; Bacillati; Bacillota
Description: bacterial SSU rRNA
Rfam family: Bacterial small subunit ribosomal RNA
Source: RNAcentral
UGGAUCCAGACUUUGAUUAUGGCUCAGGAUGAACGCUGGCGGCGUGCCUAAUACAUGCAAGUCGAACGAAACUUCUUUAUCACCGAGUGCUUGCACUCACCGAUAAAGAGUUGAGUGGCGAACGGGUGAGUAACACGUGGGCAACCUGCCCAAAAGAGGGGGAUAACACUUGGAAACAGGUGCUAAUACCGCAUAACCAUAGUUACCGCAUGGCAACUAUGUAAAAGGUGGCUAUGCUACCGCUUUUGGAUGGGCCCGCGGCGCAUUAGCUAGUUGGUGGGGUAAAGGCUUACCAAGGCAAUGAUGCGUAGCCGAACUGGGAGGUUGAUCGGCCACAUUGGGACUGAGACACGGCCCAAACUCCUGCGGGAGGCAGCAGUAGGGAAUCUUCCACAGUGGGCGAAAGCCUGAUGGAGCAACGCCGCGUGGGUGAAGAAGGUCUUCGGAUCGUAAAACCCUGUUGUUAGAGAAGAAAGUGCGUGAGAGUAACUGUUCACGUUUCGACGGUAUCUAACCAGAAAGCCACGGCUAACUACGUGCCAGCAGCCGCGGUAAUACGUAGGUGGCAAGCGUUAUCCGGAUUUAUUGGGCGUAAAGGGAACGCAGGCGGUCUUUUAAGUCUGAUGUGAAAGCCUUCGGCUUAACCGGAGUAGUGCAUUGGAAACUGGGAGACUUGAGUGCAGAAGAGGAGGGUGGAACUCCAUGUGUAGCGGUGAAAUGCGUAGAUAUAUGGAAGAACACCAGUGGCGAAAGCGGCUCUCUGGUCUGUAACUGACGCUGAGGUUCGAAAGCGUGGGUAGCAAACAGGAUUAGAUACCCUGGUAGUCCACGCCGUAAACGAUGAAUGCUAAGUGUUGGAGGGUUUCCGCCCUUCAGUGCUGCAGCUAACGCAAUAAGCAUUCCGCCUGGGGAGUACGACCGCAAGGUUGCAACUCAAAUGAAUUGACGGA